GAUGAACGCUGACAGAAUGCUUAACACAUGCAAGUCAACUUGAACUUCGGUUUGGGUGGCGGACGGGUGAGUAACGCGUAAAGAACUUGCCUCACAGUUAGGGACAACAUUUGGAAACGAAUGCUAAUACCUGAUAUUAUGAUUUUAGGGCAUCCUAGAAUUAUGAAAGCUAUAUGCGCUGUGAGAGAGCCUUGCGUCCCAUUAGCUAGUUGGAGAGGUAACGGCUCACCAAGGCGAUGAUGGGUAGCCGGCCUGAGAGGGUGAACGGCCACAAGGGGACUGAGACACGGCCCUUACUCCUACGGGAGGCAGCAGUGGGGAAUAUUGGACAAUGGACCAAGAGUCUGAUCCAGCAAUUCUGUGUGCACGAUGAAGUUUUUCGGAAUGUAAAGUGCUUUCAGUUGGGAAGAAAAAAAUGACGGUACCAACAGAAGAAGUGACGGCUAAAUACGUG
This 454-nucleotide ribosomal RNA is filed under the name uncultured bacterium. RNAcentral's name for it is "partial 16S ribosomal RNA". It matches the Rfam family "Bacterial small subunit ribosomal RNA", at positions 28 to 507 of the family's 1533-position model. The record is from RNAcentral.